AUUGAACGCUGGCGGCAGGCCUAACACAUGCAAGUCGAGCGGAUGAAGGGAGCUUGCUCCUGGAUUCAGCGGCGGACGGGUGAGUAAUCCCUAGGAAUCUGCCUGGUAGUGGGGGAUAACGUCCGGAAACGGGCGCUAAUACCGCAUACGUCCUGAGGGAGAAAGUGGGGGAUCUUCGGACCUCACGCUAUCAGAUGAGCCUAGGUCGGAUUAGCUAGUUGGUGGGGUAAAGGCCUACCAAGGCGACGAUCCGUAACUGGUCUGAGAGGAUGAUCAGUCACACUGGAACUGAGACACGGUCCAGACUCCUACGGGAGGCAGCAGUGGGGAAUAUUGGACAAUGGGCGAAAGCCUGAUCCAGCCAUGCCGCGUGUGUGAAGAAGGUCUUCGGAUUGUAAAGCACUUUAAGUUGGGAGGAAGGGCAGUAAGUUAAUACCUUGCUGUUUUGACGUUACCAACAGAGUAAGCACCGGCUAACUUCGUG
RNAcentral lists this ribosomal RNA (484 nucleotides) under uncultured bacterium. Its description in RNAcentral is "partial 16S ribosomal RNA". It matches the Rfam family "Bacterial small subunit ribosomal RNA", at positions 30 to 507 of the family's 1533-position model. The record is from RNAcentral.